Molecule: RNA transcript, 2814 nt
Organism: Physeter macrocephalus (sperm whale)
Lineage: Eukaryota; Metazoa; Chordata; Mammalia; Artiodactyla; Physeteridae
Gene: ANKRD42
Gene name: ankyrin repeat domain 42
Exons: 15
Source: RefSeq, a predicted model, not a curated record
CCACCACCGCUGCAACCAGGUGGCUGGAGUCGGGACGCUGGAAAGCGACUCAGAGGAGAGGGUACUCGCCGACGGCGGCCGCCGCCACAGCGAAUCGCGGGGAGUAGCAACCGAAGACGGCGGCCGCCGCACCAGCCAUCGCGUGUGGAGGAUAAACGGCCGGCACGGCCAUCGCGGCGACCAAUCCAGGGAAAGAGUUAGCAAAGGCCAGGGCUUUAGUCGUAGCGAAGACUGGGAAAGAAUCCGUGAAGGCAGCGACCACCGCUGCAGGGUACCGACGGGAAGAGCAAGUGAAGACGUCGGCUUCUCCCGCAAUGACUCGAGAAGGGUCAGUGAAGACCUGGGCCACCGUCGCAGUGUCUCUCAGGAGAGAGUCAGGGGAGACGGUGGCCACCGUCCCAGCAACUCUUGGGAGAGAGUAAGGGGAGACCGCAGCAGCGACGUGAGUUUAAGUGAAGUCGGAAGCCACCCCACUAGUGACUCCGUGGGAACGGUCAGAGGAGACCGAGGCCUCCGUCUCAGUGGGACUUGGGAGGUAGUCAGGAAGGUCCGGGGUCCCCGAACCAGUGACUCCGGGGAGAGAGGCAGUGACGACUACAGCCGCCGCCUCAGUGGCUCUUGGGAGGGCGGAAGUGUGGAUGGCGGCCGCAGCCUCAGCAGUUCCUGGGAGGAGGGGGUGAGUGAAGACCGCGGCUACGUGGCCAGCGACUCCUCCGUGGUGAGCGUCAGCGAAGACGCCAGCCGCCGCCGCUUCUGGGAGAGAGAAAGCGAAGACGAAGGUUCCCGCUGCCGGGGCUCCUGGGAGAGAACGACGGAGGACGGCGUCCCCGGGCCUAGCGACGACGAGGAAGACAGCCGCUGCUGCACUGGCUCGUGGGUGACAGCGAGCGAAGACCGCCGCAGCAGCAGGGGCCAGGACUCGACUCCUCUCCGGAGUCCGAGGGGUCGCACCAUGCCCGGGGUGUCCGGUUCAGGCCCCUCCACCUUCUCCACGGAGACUGCGACCCCGUUAGGUGCCAGGAAGAAAGUGCAUUUUGGUAGCAUACAUGAUGCAGUACGCGCUGGAGAUGUAAAGCAGCUUUCAGAAAUAGUAGAACGUGGUGCCAGCAUUAAUGAAGUUGACGUUCUCCAUAAAUUUACCCCUUUACAUUGGGCAGCACAUUCUGGCAGUUUGGAGUGUCUUCAUUGGCUUCUCUGGCAUGGAGCUGAUCUCUCACAAGCAACCGUGACAGGUUGGACAGCAGCUCACAUAGCUGCCAUCAGGGGACAGGAUGCUUGCAUGCAGGCUCUUAUAAUUAAUGGAGCCAAUCUGGCAGCUCAAGAUGAUCGUGGAUGCACUCCUUUACACCUUGCUACAACACACGGACAUUCUUUCACUUUACAAAUAAUGCUCCGAAGUGGAGUGGAUCCCAGCGUGACUGAUAAGAGAGAGUGGAAACCUGUGCAUUAUGCAGCUUUUCAUGGGCGGCUUGGCUGUUUGCAACUUCUCAUUAAAUGGGGAUGUAGCAUAGAAGAUGUGGACUACAAUGGAAACCUUCCAGUUCAUUUAGCAGCCAUGGAAGGCCACCUUCACUGUUUUAAAUACCUACUCAGUAGAAUGAGCAGUGCCUCCCAAGCUUUGAAAGCCUUCAAUGAUAAUGGAGAAAAUGUAUUGGACCUAGCCCAGAGGUUCUUUAAGCAGAACAUUUUACAGUUUAUCCAGGGGGCUGAGUAUGAAGGAAAUGAUACAAAAGAUCAAGAAACUUUAGCAUUUCCAGGUCAUGUGGCUGCCUUUAAGGGUGAUUUGGAAAUGCUUAAGAAAUUAAUAGACGAUGGAGUAAUCAAUAUUAAUGAACGUGAUAAUAAUGGAUCAACUCUUAUGCAUAAAGCUGCUGGGCAAGGCCACGUAGAGUGUUUGCAGUGGCUAAUUAAAAUGGGAGCAGACAGUAAUAUUACCAACAAAGCAAGAGAGAAACCCAGUGAUGUGGCUAAGAGGUUUGCCCAUUUAGCAGCAGUAAAGCUAUUGGAAGGACUACAGAAAUAUGAUAUAGAUGAUGAGAGUGAAAUUGAUGAAAAUGAUAUUAAGUUUUUCAUAAGACAUGGUGUUGAGGGAAGCACUGAUGCCAAGGAUGAUAUAGGUCUCAGUGAGUCAGAUAAAACAGAUGCCAGAGUGAGAGCUUAUAAGAAAACUGUAGAAUUGAGACACCUCCUGGAAAUUGCUGAGAGCAACUAUAAACAGUUGGGAGGCAUAAAAGAAGAAGAUCUAAAGCAGAAGAAAGAACAGCUUGAGUCUGAAAAAUUGCCCUCCUUCAGACCUGAGAUCCAACUCAACAUGCCUUGGGAGUUCUGGUGCCCUCACCAUCCAGCAAUAAGGCAGAAAGAAACCCUGGUUCCAGUCCUAGCAUCGAUGUCUGGGACUAUCAAAGAGCUGCAGGGCCACCUGGAGUAUGAACGACUACGCAGAGAAAAAUUAGAAUGUCAGCUGGAUGAGUAUCGAGCAGAGGUGGAUCAACUCAGGGAGAUGCUGGAAAAAACUCAGGUUCCCAACUUUGCGGCUGUGGAAGAUGACCCUUCCUGUGAGUCAAGCAAAGAGAAGAGGCGAGUGAAGAAAAAGGUGUCUUCUGGGGGAGUUUUUGUGAAAAGCUGGUUUCUUUAGCUGUAAAAUGAGGAUAAUACCACCUACCUAAGAGGACUGCAAUGAAAAAUAGUUUGGGAAUUUGGUGUAUGUGCUUGGCUGCGGAGCCAAUGGGGCGAAGCUACCAUCUGUGGGAUUAUGACUGAACGCCUCUAAGUCAGAAUCCCGCCCAGGCGGAACGAUACGGCAGCGCCGCGGGA